RNAcentral lists this transfer RNA (68 nucleotides) under Marmota monax (woodchuck). Its description in RNAcentral is "tRNA.Ala". The record is from RNAcentral. Lineage: Eukaryota; Metazoa; Chordata; Mammalia; Rodentia; Sciuridae.
GGUUUGUGGCUCAGUGAUAGAGCGCUUGCCUAGCAUGGGUGAGGCACUGGGUUCAAUUCUCAGCACCA